RNAcentral lists this ribosomal RNA (385 nucleotides) under uncultured bacterium. RNAcentral's name for it is "bacterial SSU rRNA". It matches the Rfam family "Bacterial small subunit ribosomal RNA", at positions 28 to 416 of the family's 1533-position model. The record is from RNAcentral.
GACGAACGCUGGCGGCGUGCUUAACACAUGCAAGUCGAGCGAUGAAGCACCUUCGGGUGUGAAUUAGCGGCGAACGGGUGAGGAACACGUGAGAAAUCUGCCUUCAACACUGGGAUAACUCCGGGAAACCGGGGCUAAUACCGGAUAUGAAACCUGCGGGCAUCCGCGGGUUUGGAAAGUUUUUCGGUUGAAGAUGAUCUCGCGGCCUAUCAGCUUGUUGGUGAGGUAAUGGCUCACCAAGGCGACGACGGGUAGCCGGCCUGAGAGGGCGACCGGCCACACUGGGACUGAGACACGGCCCAGACUCCUACGGGAGGCAGCAGUGGGGAAUAUUGGGCAAUGGAGGAAACUCUGACCCAGCGACGCCGCGUGCGGGAUGAAGGCC